Molecule: long non-coding RNA, 551 nt
Organism: Oncorhynchus tshawytscha (Chinook salmon)
Lineage: Eukaryota; Metazoa; Chordata; Actinopteri; Salmoniformes; Salmonidae
Source: Ensembl
CAAACACUGUCACUCACUCCCUCUCUCUCUACCUCUGUCUUUCGCUCUCCCCUCUCCCUCUCUCAGAUGUUCUAUUCUGGGAAGUUGUGCCAGGAAUAAUAGCUUCGGCGUCUUCCUCGCAAACUGAAAAAUCGUGUCGAGGAGGAUGUUUUACUCACAAGGUGUCUUCAUUUAGUAGCAGCAUAAGGCUUUAGAAUAGUCAUACGGAAGUCGAUCUUUUUUUGUGCUAAUUCUUGUUUAAUUUUUCACUCUUGAGUCUUGGACGCUUUUAUCCGACAAUUAGCGAAGUGUCAAGAGCGUUGUCAUAGGUUGUCAUUUAUUUGGGAUUUUACCGGACGUGGGUUUUUGCACGGCACCUGAAGUGUGACACGGGCGUGUGAAGAGGGUGUGUGCCUGGAUAGGCUUGCCAGGACUGCCAGGCAGAAGUCGUCUGUCAAAUCCCAGAGAUUGCUUUUCACUGCAUUAACCAGAGAAGGGAGAGAGGAGAGAGACGUGAAAGCCGGACAGACAAUGUCCCUUCUCUUUAUGGACUCCAAUGAUGGGACGAGGGG